AAAUUAAUCUGGCCUCAUAAAAAACUGCAUCCAAAAUAUUAUAACACACAUUGAAAAUAUUGGUUAAUUUAUGUUAAUGCAUCAUUAAUAUUAGACAUACCGAGAGUAGAUGAUAUAUUACAUAGCCUUCAUAGUACACACCAUAUAUAAAAGAAAAGAAAAGAAAAAAAAGUUUUGGGCAAACUACAUCCCCCAUGAUGCAGCGCGGUGCUGUGCGCGUGUGCGCGCCUGUGGAAUGAAGAGCGCACUUGUUGAGUUUGGGAACUUCCAGAGGCUUGAACUUCUCGCUUUGGACGCAGCGGAGCUCUCUCAUCAACAUUAUCAUCAGGCCACAUGGAUUCCUGCUGGCUUUUUAUUUCCAGGACUAUGUUUUUCUCUGUCGGAGUGAAUGUUGAUUGUCUCGAGUGUUUUACGCGUUAGACGCGCACCGUUACAGCGCGCAGGAGGAAUGCAUAACAGUACUGCGAGGAUGAAGAAGACGUGCCUUUAAUCGAUUUAUAGCUAUAGGAGAGUUCAUGUUUGGUGGAGAGAUAUGGGAUGCUUUACAGAAGGACGAUUUAUGGACUAUCAUUGGACUUUAAAUGAGACUGGAGAAUGGAGAACAUCGCUGCUCUGCCAAGUGGUGUUCAAGCAUGGACGAGAUAAUCAAGGAGGCGCUUUGACGUUGGCUAGCCACGGGUUGGAGAGGCUGUGGAUGAGAAAAUCGUAAGGGAGGACCACCCAUUGGGCUCGGAGGAGAGAGAUUCCCUACACGCCGUCUCUUUGGAAUAUUAAUGGGCUUCUCCUGGGAAAACUGCCCACAGAAUAGGCCACUCCAUCGCUGUCUCUGUUUCCGCUCAGCUGUCCUGAGGGUACGUGAGGGUGUUCGGUGCAAUCCGGCCUGGAGAAACCUCAAGUACACCUCAAACUUUUGUUUUGAUGUUUCAUUAAGGACUCUUGGAAAUUGAGCAUUUCUUUUUUUCCCCCUAGAAUAUAUUACAGCUUUUAUUACACAAUAAAAAGCACAGGAACGAUUACAUUUAUGAUGUCAAAUUCCUCAGUCUCAAUUUUAUAACCGCAAUCAAUAAGGAGACAUAUUGAUUGAAAUGAGGGGAUCAUUAGCACGUGAGGGAUUGGGGAAUGAUGACAGUGAUGAUUGGGGAGGUGACAAUGAUGCCGAUCACCAGUGGUUGUCAUCACUGGAGCUGCACUCGAUGGCAGAAGCCCAGACGUCUCAUCUGUUUGGCCGUUAUGAGAGUGACCGUCCUAAUGGCUUCCACAGAUGGCAGAGCUCGCUGAAGUCAUUGCACUUUUCUUUCAAUCCCUUUUGCAUUCUUUAUCUGUAUUUGAGUCUCUGUUACUUGCUUUCAGUCAUUCCACUAUUUCCACUAUUUGAGUUUUCGGCAUAUUUAUGUGAAGAAUCCAGUUUUUUUACAAGCCUGCCAAGCUGUGAAUGAAAUAAGAUGAAUUUGAAAUGGUAGGGAG
Molecule: long non-coding RNA, 1464 nt
Organism: Cyprinus carpio carpio
Lineage: Eukaryota; Metazoa; Chordata; Actinopteri; Cypriniformes; Cyprinidae
Source: Ensembl